GACAUGGUCGGAAUCCCGCUGAGAGGUGGGAGUGCUCGAAAGAGAACCGGCGCACAGGUGCUGCAUGGCUGUCGUCAGCUCGUGUCGUGAGAUGUUGGGUUAAGUCCCGCAACGAGCGCAACCCUUGUCCUUAGUUGCUACGCAAGAGCACUCUAAGGAGACUGCCGGUGACAAACCGGAGGAAGGUGGGGAUGACGUCAAGUCCUCAUGGCCCUUAUGGGUAGGGCUUCACACGUCAUACAAUGGUCGGAACAGAGGGUUGCCAACCCGCGAGGGGGAGCUAAUCCCAGAAUCCGAUCGUAGUCCGGAUUGCACUCUGCAACUCGAGUGCAUGAAGCUGGAAUCGCUAGUAAUCGCGGAU
RNAcentral lists this ribosomal RNA (361 nucleotides) under Burkholderia sp. 3R. Its description in RNAcentral is "bacterial SSU rRNA". It matches the Rfam family "Bacterial small subunit ribosomal RNA", at positions 983 to 1349 of the family's 1533-position model. The record is from RNAcentral. Lineage: Bacteria; Pseudomonadati; Pseudomonadota; Betaproteobacteria; Burkholderiales; Burkholderiaceae.